This 303-nucleotide ribosomal RNA is filed under the name uncultured bacterium. RNAcentral's name for it is "partial 16S ribosomal RNA". It matches the Rfam family "Bacterial small subunit ribosomal RNA", at positions 507 to 807 of the family's 1533-position model. The record is from RNAcentral.
AGCAGCCGCCGCGGUAAUACGUAGGUGGCAAGCGUUGUCCGGAAUUAUUGGGCGUAUAGGGCUCGCAGGCGGUUUCUUAAGUCUGAUGUGAAAGCCCCCGGCUCAACCGGGGAGGGUCAUUGGAAACUGGGAAACUUGAGUGCAGAAGAGGAGAGUGGAAUUCCACGUGUAGCGGUGAAAUGCGUAGAGAUGUGGAGGAACACCAGUGGCGAAGGCGACUCUCUGGUCUGUAACUGACGCUGAGGAGCGAAAGCGUGGGGAGCGAACAGGAUUAGAUACCCCUGUAGUCCCUGUCUCUUAUAC